This 484-nucleotide ribosomal RNA is filed under the name uncultured bacterium. RNAcentral describes it as "partial 16S ribosomal RNA". It matches the Rfam family "Bacterial small subunit ribosomal RNA", at positions 30 to 507 of the family's 1533-position model. The record is from RNAcentral.
AUUGAACGCUGGCGGCAGGCCUAACACAUGCAAGUCGAGCGGAUGAAGGGAGCUUGCUCCUGGAUUCAGCGGCGGACGGGUGAGUAAUGCCUAGGAAUCUGCCUGGUAGUGGGGGAUAACGCCCGGAAACGGGCGCUAAUACCGCAUACGUCCUGAGGGAGAAAGUGGGGGAUCUUCGGACCUCACGCUAUCAGAUGAGCCUAGGUCGGAUUAGCUAGUUGGUGGGGUAAAGGCCUACCAAGGCGACGAUCCGUAACUGGUCUGAGAGGAUGAUCAGUCACACUGGAACUGAGGCACGGUCCAGACUCGUACGGGAGGCAGCAGUGGGGAAUAUUGGACAAUGGGCGAAAGCCUGAUCCAGCCAUGCCGCGUGUGUGAAGAAGGUCUUCGGAUUGUAAAGCACUUUAAGUUGGGAGGAAGGGCAGUAAGUUAAUACCUUGCUGUUUUGACGUUACCAACAGAAUAAGCACCGGCUAACUUCGUG